RNAcentral lists this ribosomal RNA (505 nucleotides) under uncultured bacterium. Its description in RNAcentral is "partial 16S ribosomal RNA". It matches the Rfam family "Bacterial small subunit ribosomal RNA", at positions 28 to 507 of the family's 1533-position model. The record is from RNAcentral.
GACGAACGCUGGCGGCGUGCCUAAUACAUGCCAGUAGAACGCACAGUUUAUACCGUAGCUUGCUCCACCAUAAACUGUGAGUUGCGAACGGGUGAGUAACGCGUAGGUAACCUGCCUGGUAGCGGGUGAUAACUAUUGGAAACGAUAGCUAAUACCGCAUAAUAUUGAUUAUUGCAUGAUAAUUGAUUGAACGAUGCUAUUGCAUCACUACCAGAUGGACCUGCGUUGUAUUAGCUAGUAGGUGAGGUAACGGCUCACCUAGGCGACGAUACAUAGCCGACCUGAGAGGGUGAUCGGCCACACUGGGACUGAGACACGGCCCAGACUCUUACGGGAGGCAGCAGUAGGGAAUCUUCGGAAAUGGACGAAAGUCUGACCGAGCAACGCCGCGUGAGUGAAGAAGGGUUUCGGAUCGUAAAGCUCUGUUGUAAGAGAAGAACGGGUGUGAGAGUGGAAAGUUCACACUGUGACGGUAUCUUAACAGAAAGGGACGGCUAACUACGUG